Molecule: long non-coding RNA, 2578 nt
Organism: Herpailurus yagouaroundi (jaguarundi)
Lineage: Eukaryota; Metazoa; Chordata; Mammalia; Carnivora; Felidae
Exons: 2
Source: RefSeq, a predicted model, not a curated record
UUUCAGCGGUAGUGAGCCUAGCAGCUAGAAAUUCCAAAUACCCCAGUUCCUUACGGUUUUUAGCCAGAGCUCCAAGGGGACCCCUUACCUUGCCAGAGCAGAGUUUCAGGCCUCCCUGCAUAGCACUGCUGCACAAAGGGCUAGACUAGUCUCUAGGGUCCCCCCCCUCCCCCCCCCCACCUUGUAACCUGUGUUCUAUGCUCCCAUCCCAGUCUCCUGCACAAGCACAUCCGCUAUAUCCCUCUACACCUGGCCCGGAUACCACUUUCUCCAGGAAGCUGCCCCCUUCUGCUCCCCUCCCCCAUUUUGGCAGUAAUGUAUCCCUCUUGCCUUGGUGGGGCCCAAUGUCUCCAUCAGUGUGGCUCAGAUGAAACCAGUCGCUUUAUGCCUGGGGUCAUAAUUACUCCUGUGCUUGGUCAUGUCUCGUUGGCAGGGUCCUUUCUAGAGCAGGGAAUCUUCUUUCUUGGCUUCAUAGUUCCCAUGGGAGGGGCCUGGUAAUGUUUCUUUUGGUCUGGUUGGUUUUGUUUUUAUUUUUAAUGAGUGCCUAUGAAAAAACUGAUGCCAAAAGCUGCUUUCCCCCCAAACCCCGUCUCAGCCCCCCCUUGGGCUGCGAUAAAAAAAUGCCAUUGACCAUGUGGCUUAAACCAUAAACAUCUAUUUCUCACAGUCUUCAGGGCUGGGAAGACCAAGAUCAAGGUGCCAGCAAAUCCAGAUCGCUGUCCGUCGGGAACCCUCCUCUUGAUUUGAAGGCUGUGUCCUCACAUGGCAGAGAGAGAUGUCCUCCUUAUAAGGGAAGAAAAGGGGACAUCUUCGGUGGGGCAGCCAAUGCAACUUCCACGGUAUUUUUCGGCCGGCUGGGAGCCCAUGCUUGUGUAAUGCUGUCAGGACAGCAUCCAGAGAAUGUCACUCACUGCAGGACCCCACUGACACCAGGGCAGUCACGAUAUAGCCAAACCCACCCCAUGCCAAGGGACACCAAAGACGAAAGCCUCCGUGGGCCACAUCAUUCGCCUGCAACAUCCCUCAAAGUGUAGUGGCUUGUAUACCUGGUCACUGUUAGUAGUGGGCAUAGAGAGAUGACAGACACAGAUUCUUGUCCUCCGGCCAUAAAACCAGCUGCCUAGAAUUUGGCGAAGUGACCAGUUUUGCUGAAAUAAAAACCUCGGUUUUACGCGGAAGUGAUUCACUGCUCUGCAUCCAACAUCAACACGCUUCCUGCUUCCCCUGUGUCUUUGAAUCCAGAUGUUGGCUUAAUACAUCCACAGAGCACCUCCCAUAUGCUGGGCACCGGGCUCGGUGCUGACAGGGAUCCAGAGAUAAUCCGUGAGGGCCGAGGGCCCGGGAGCUGACGGUCCAUGAUGGAGAUUCCACCUGUGUCCAAUGAUGGAGCAGACCGUCACCAGCCCUCUCGGUGGGGCCCCCCAGACCAGAGCCACUGGGAAAGAGCACAGACGUGCCGAAGAACCAUCAGACUCAGAGCUGGCAAAGUGUCUUUAGGGCUUGGCUCUCCAGUGGGUUGGGCCAACCUUCUCGAGGGGUCCUUGCCUCAAGACUCCCUAAGGUUCUGAGAGGCCUCGGUGGCUGGUGUUUGACAGGCAUAUGGGGAGAGGCCCAUGCCUGCUCUCCCAGAAUUCUGUGUUCCUCUGUAUCCUUGGCAGGGUCAGAAGACAGAAACCAUUUCUCACAGUCUCGGCAAAUGUCAGCCGCGGAAAAGGCCCCGAAGAGGGUUUAAUCCAGUCUCCCUCAUUUGUGGCAACUGAGGCCCAAAGAAAGAGAGCAGGGAUGCAGCCUAUCUUGGAGAACUCAGGGUUUACAUUAUUGCUUUUAAGGUAUCCGAAGAAGAACGCCGAGCCGGACGAGGGCCCUGCCGCCUGCGGCACAUUCACAGAGAUACUCUGUCAAGGGAAGGAAGGGAACAAGCCAUCUAUUCUUGUCUGCGCCAUUUUCCCAUGUCAGGAGCAGACUGUGCUGAAAAAUUUAGGUUUUCUGCUUUCAUGCUUCCUUUCACUGCACUCUGGACAAAAUGCCUUUCUUUCCCCCCUUUUCUUUGGCGGGAUCCUGACCAAGGCUGUAGAAAAAGAAUCUUUUUAAGAACAUAUAUAUCUAUCUAUCGAUAUACAUUCAGCCCCUGACAGUGACACGGAACUGUAGUGCCUCUUAAUUACCCAGGAAGUGACAAGGUCAAGAGGUGUCUGAAAGCCGCCUUGUGCUUCUGGGCAUUGGUUUCUCACCAUUGUCGCCGCUUCACAAGCUGGAGUGGGGGCCAUGGCGCCUGGUUUUUGUCCACUGUUUGGAGUUCUUCCUUUCUUCCUUCCUCACUUUUUUUUUUUUUUUUUUUUUUAAUUUGAAAAGAAACUUCUGGCAUUUGGGGUAUUGAUUGAAAAUGCGUAAAGGCAGGACGCGUUUCGGGUUGGCUGACCAGUGAUAAUUGCUGCUUGCGCGCUCGAGGAGGGGGUCAGCUUCCCGCAGCAACACCCUCUCCUGAUGCCCCCAUUCUCUGGCUCCUCUCCCACUUUCUUCCUAUUAUCUCUGGGCUUUCCGGGAGAAAAUGACAAUUAGAGAGAAAUGUUCAUGCCCA